This 953-nucleotide long non-coding RNA is filed under the name Volvox carteri. RNAcentral describes it as "long non-coding RNA (VCAR_LNC002478)". Lineage: Eukaryota; Viridiplantae; Chlorophyta; Chlorophyceae; Chlamydomonadales; Volvocaceae. The record is from RNAcentral.
UUCAUUGCGCGCAUUGCACUAAUAAGAUUAUCUUGAAUUUGUUGUUUAGCGCGUAAGCAUUGCUUAUACUCACGCUGAUCCUCCAAUGACGACAGUGUAAGGUAAAGCCUAAUGAAUUAGCAUCUUCAUAACAAGAAUCUGUCUUUCUUCCUCUAUAAUGGCGCAGCAUUCAUUCGCAGGCAAGCAGGGGAAAGCAGGAAAAGGGGGACUAGACGGCACCGGCAGUAAGUGGCCAUCAUGCAGGUGCAUACACUGACAUUAUGCCUUGUCAUUUUACAUUCCAAGGACACGAGCAGGAGAAUCGCAAGGAAUAGGACAAGCGCAAGGAUGGUGGUAAGGAUAUGAACAAGAGUCGGGCUCAAACGGGACGUGGCAUGCCACGUAGCGGCCGUUCGGAGGUAUGAAGCCUCUGGUUGCACGACCAUGGCUAUUAACUAAAUGCUUUUUAUUGCCUUAUUUCGAGGCACGUUAUGCCGGUGUCACACCUACAGCCGUCAUUGUACGUAACAUGCUCACAACUAUGUGUUCCUGCCUAAACAAUGAUUUGCUGUGAUCCUUUCAUAUGCAGAUUUAUGCCGUCGUUCGUGAAGAUGACAUCAGCGGAGGCGAGGAUUGAGCGCUUUAAUAAGAAGACAAUAGUGGCUGUAUUGUGGUACAUUUACAUGCGCUUAACAUUUGUGUGUCGAUUUUUUCUGACGUUAGACUGUUGGACCCUUUUCCAUGGUAAGAGUUGCUGGCUGAGUUGCAUCGGUCAUGUUAGGAUUUGCUAUGAAUUCGUACCUGUCAUUCAGGGAUAGUUCAAAUGUAUGAAGAAAGCAGUGAGUGCUGUGGUUCACAGCUGUGAACCUGCAGGUCAUGUGCAACGGCGGUGCACUUUGCACAUUGUACAGCUCGUGUACUGCUAUUGUAAAGCUUUUGUAUUGCACGGUUGGCCGUACAGUUCGCAGUCCCGC